GAACAGUGUUCACCAGAACUGGUAUUGUGUGCCUGUGAUUCCUGAGGGUCAUGAGUUCAGAUCAUCCUCAGCUACAAAGGCCCCUCGCCGUUGCCUCCGUCUGUCACCGCGAGCAUCCAAGCGCAGAAAGGAAAUGCGAAGCGAGACAGCUGUACGGGAGGCUUCGCCUUCUAAAGAAGUUGACAGACAAAUGGCACAGGGGUCCCUGCUCUUGCCAGCUGAGGGCUUAGCUUCCAGAAAGCGCCCCUCUAGGGGAACAAGCGAGGCAGUGUGGAGCUGCUGAAAGGCCUCAUUGAGGCUACAGCCCGAGGCUCUUGUAGCUCAUUGUCUGGUAUGCGGCGCCCUUCCGAAACCGCUCUCCACAGUUCUGCACCCCCCAACCCCCAAAUCUCAGAAACCAUCCCCUGCCCUCCGUUACACUUGGUGCUUCAAAUGAAAUUCUCAAAAGGUA
Rattus rattus (black rat) is the source of this 451-nucleotide long non-coding RNA. RefSeq lists it as uncharacterized. The transcript is spliced from 2 exons. NCBI's taxonomy places the organism in Eukaryota, Metazoa, Chordata, Mammalia, Rodentia, Muridae. The record is from RefSeq and is a predicted model, not a curated record.